This 245-nucleotide unclassified non-coding RNA is filed under the name Leptosphaeria sp. Its description in RNAcentral is "partial internal transcribed spacer region". The stretch from base 1 to 46 matches the Rfam family "Eukaryotic small subunit ribosomal RNA", at positions 1786 to 1831 of the family's 1831-position model. Lineage: Eukaryota; Fungi; Ascomycota; Dothideomycetes; Pleosporales; Leptosphaeriaceae. The record is from RNAcentral.
AAGUCGUAACAAGGUUUCCGUAGGUGAACCUGCGGAAGGAUCAUUACCUUUCAAUGCAGAAGAGUUGAGGUGGUUGAGUAUCUCGCCCCUCAAUUCUCGCUGUAUUUUACCCUUGUUUUUCUCAUACUAUUAUUUCCUCGGCAGGCCAGCCUGCCGGGUGAAACAACUUCAAACCUGUUUAAUUUUCAAUCAGCGUCUGAACAAAUUAAUAAUUACAACUUUCAACAACGGAUCUCUUGGUUCUG